GUCAUUAUGACAUGCUUCUGUUGUCCCUUGCUGCCUGUCUACUCAGCCCACCAGCACCCAGUUGAAAUAAACAGCCAUGUUGCUCACAGAAAGCCUGUUUGGUGAUCUCUUCACACGGACACAUGAAACAUUUGGUGCCAAAGACCCGGGUCAGUGGGACUCCUUUUGGAGACCAGUCCCCUGUCCUCACCCUCACUCCGUGAAGAGAUCCACCUACGACCUCAGGUCCUCAGACCAACCAGCCCAAGGAACAUCUCACCGAUUUUAAAUCAGGACCCCACUAGAAAUUGGACUGUCCAACUGGCCCAAGGCUCUGAUCGACUCCUUCCCAGAUCUCCUCGGCUUAGCAGCUGAAGACUGACACUGCCUGAUCGCCUCGGAAGCCCCUUGGACCAUCACGGACGCUGAGCUUCGGGUAACUCUCACAGUGAAGGGAAACUGAAUUCCAAAAAGGAAACGAACUAACUCAAAUUUUCCCUGAUCUGGAAUUACAAGCAUCAGCUCAUUAUUCCUGCAAUAAAACCGAUUGGCCAGGAGCUAAACAGAAGACUUCUAAAAAAUGAAAACCCCUGGCCGGGCGCGGUGGCUCACGCCUGUAAUCCCAGCACUUUGGGACGCCGAGGCAGGCGGAUCACGAGGUCAGGAGAUCGAGACCAUCCCGGCUAACACUGUGAAACCCCGUCUCUACUAAAAAUGCGAAAAAUUAGCCGGGCGUGUUGGCGGGCGCCUGUAGUCCCAGCUACUCGGGAGGCUGAGGCAGGAG
RNAcentral lists this long non-coding RNA (763 nucleotides) under Homo sapiens (human). Its description in RNAcentral is "HSALNT0112294". The record is from RNAcentral. Lineage: Eukaryota; Metazoa; Chordata; Mammalia; Primates; Hominidae.